AUUGAACGCUGGCGGCAUGCCUUACACAUGCAAGUCGAACGGCAGCACGGGUGCUUGCACCUGGUGGCGAGUGGCGAACGGGUGAGUAAUACAUCGGAACGUACCUUAUCGUGGGGGAUAACGCAGCGAAAGCUGUGCUAAUACCGCAUACGCCCUGAGGGGGAAAGCGGGGGAUCGAAAGACCUCGCGCGAUUAGAGCGGCCGAUGCCUGAUUAGCUUGUUGGUGGGGUAAAAGCCCACCAAGGCGACGAUCAGUAGCUGGUCUGAGAGGACGAGCAGCCACACUGGGACUGAGACACGGCCCAGGCUCCUCCGGGAGGCAGGAGUGGGGAACUUUGGACAAUGGGGGCAACCCUGAUCCAGCAAUGCCGCGUGAGUGAAGAAGGCCUUCGGGUUGUAAAGCUCUUUUGUCAGGGAAGAAACACCGGCUCUAACACAGUCCGGGAAUGACGGUACCUGAAGAAUAAGCACCGGCUAACUACGUGCCAGCCGCCGCGGUAA
Molecule: ribosomal RNA, 501 nt
Filed under: uncultured bacterium
Lineage: Bacteria
Description: partial 16S ribosomal RNA
Rfam family: Bacterial small subunit ribosomal RNA
Source: RNAcentral